GCAGAGGACACGGCCAGGUAAGGAGCAACCUGCUGAGACAAAGCUGCAGCACCGCAGAGCCAGCUGGGGUAGGGCAAGGAGAUGGGAGGCACAGCCCUCAAAUGGGUUCUUCUCACGUUGGAUCAGUACGAAAGAGAGCAGCUCUUGAGAGGGGAAAUCUUUUCCUAUGGCCCGAUUGUGCUCAGAUGUGGAGCUGAUCCCAGGCUGCAGGCCAGCCUUGUGCUGGGCCUCCCCGGGGGCAGCGUGAAGCCCCCAGGUGUCAGCCUGCGCCCCCAGGGCAGAGGGGUGCACUUGGCGAUUCCUGGGCAGUGAAAACAGCUCUCGUGUCAGUACAGGGAGAUGGGUCACCUCUCUCCUCCUCAAAGACCAUCCCCAGCCCUGGGAAGCCCACUCCUCGUGCCACCAGGCUUCCUGCAGGCUCCACAGCACCAAGCAGGCUCGGCAGGAGGUACGUGCAAGGGAAGGAGAGAGGUGAGGGACAGGAGGCGGCGUGGGAAGAGCACGCCGAGGCUCAGCCAUCCACAGACCCGCUGCCCUUGUUCUUGCGACUCAGGGGGAAAGCAGACUUGCUCUGUGGCUGCGUCAUCUUACUGGCCAGGUAGAUGAAGGGCUCGAUCAAUGUACGCCGGUCAGCCACGGACACUUCCCACAGCUUCACCUUCUCGCCCUUGGCCCAGUGCUGGGCUGCGUCGUGGUCCACCCGGCGCUGCUCCUGAAGGUCACAUUUAUUGCCCAAAACCACAAUCGUGACCUCCUUCUUGUCUUUGCACUUAUCGAUCUCCUUCUUGAGGAGCUCCACCCGCCGGAAGGACUCCUUGCUGUCGGUGCUGUACACCAGCACGUAGCCGUCGGUGCAGGAGAAGCAGUGCUUGGGCAGCUCCAGGCCGUCCCGCAGCCCCCGCGUGUCGUAGAAGCGCACCUGCUCGCGCACGCCGCGGUCCGUCUCGAUGGAGCCCACGUAGAUGUCCUCCUGGGUCUCGAUCAUCUCGGAGCCGACCACGUGGUUGCCGUACAGCAGCUGCUCCAGGAUGGCGGUUUUGCCCACCGCGGCCUGCCCGCACACCACCACCUUGCAGCUCUUCCCCAUGCCGCCUCCGCGCCGCGCCGGGGCCGCUCGCGGGGGAUCCGCCCAAGGAACGGCGCCGGGGCGGCACCGCGCGGGGCUCCGUCAGCGGGCGGGGAUCGGGGCCGCCCCGGAGCGCCGCGGCACCGCGGACCCCAACUGCGCGGUGGCGACGGCGGAAGGGGCGCGGCCCCACAGCGCCCUCCGGCGGCGGAACGCGGC
Molecule: long non-coding RNA, 1285 nt
Filed under: Gallus gallus (chicken)
Lineage: Eukaryota; Metazoa; Chordata; Aves; Galliformes; Phasianidae
Source: RNAcentral